GGGACACAAAACGGCACACGCGCUCGGGUUUGACUGCGAUAAAGCUUCGAGUAUGUGCGCUUUUCUGCGUUUGAGCUCGUGCCGGAGGCAGUGCGCGCUAAUCUUCAAUUACAAAGGAGGAGCCUCCGAAUCAGCCCAUCGAGUCCGCAUUGUUAUGAAUCCGCCAACACGCACGAGGUGAAAAUCCCGCACGACGCGAUCUCGACGGACGCUCGAGCGGGUGAAGGCGUGCGCGCUUGACGUGACUUCGCGGCGAACUUCGCUGGCCUCCCCGAUAGCCGCUGAGAAGAAAUAGAGAUAACGAGACACGCCUGAUUGAGAUUCGAAGGGACGUCGUUUGUGCCAAUUUGUCAAACUGCGAGUACGGAAGUCUGCGCUUCAACACCUGUCCCGCUUUCAUGUGCAAAUGGAGGGGAGCUUUCGUUCCGUCUGAUGUUAUUUCAUCAUGAAUGAGCAACGGCCUCGUUUAUACACUGAAUCCCUGUCUGAUGCUGCUCCGACAAAUGCCACUGUUUAAUCCCCAGAUUAUGAGCCGAUCUCCCUCGCCCGAUUCAACCCGCGCCGCACACGCAUCUGGAAGAGCGCGAUGACCAUGCGGACGAUCCGACUCGAGUCUGGAUUGUGUGCCGAACGAGCGAAGGCGGCAACGCUGACGCGACCGUCCGAACGUCCCUUCUGACGCCCGACGCCGUUCGCGGAGGACGACGAUCGCUCUCUCGUUCGACGCCUCCGUCGCAUCCAUCUGAUGCGGUAGACCGAUAGAAUAAACUCACACCGCUCCACAUUCCUCGCAUAGUCGACACCGUUUUUGUAGCGCGUCACCCCGCGCGGUGUGUGUUCAUGCUGAAGCCGUAAAAACAAUAUUUACUGCAGCACGCCCUUUCGACGAUACUCACUCAAAAGCGACUGACUACUGGGCCAAAUCUCGACAAGUGCGCACGAAAACCGAAUCAUUUCAACCUUAUGUAAACGAGGAAGAAAAAGAGGCAGAGACAGCGAGCCGGAGCGGUUGCCGAUAGCGACGGUGUUUUAGAGGCCGAUCGC
Molecule: long non-coding RNA, 1044 nt
Organism: Phyllopteryx taeniolatus (common seadragon)
Lineage: Eukaryota; Metazoa; Chordata; Actinopteri; Syngnathiformes; Syngnathidae
Exons: 3
Source: RefSeq, a predicted model, not a curated record